AAGGAAACAAAAGGCACACAAAAAGAAAGAAAAUAUGUAAUUGGCAGCUCCUGCUGGCUGUCCAGCAGUUAGUCUGUUCUCCACAGAACUUUCUUGUCGCCUUUUUUCUUUUAUUUUUUUUUCUUCCUUCC
Molecule: non-coding RNA, 131 nt
Filed under: Platyophrya macrostoma
Lineage: Eukaryota; Ciliophora; Colpodea; Cyrtolophosidida; Platyophryidae
Source: RNAcentral